Molecule: ribosomal RNA, 253 nt
Filed under: uncultured bacterium
Lineage: Bacteria
Description: partial 16S ribosomal RNA
Rfam family: Bacterial small subunit ribosomal RNA
Source: RNAcentral
UACGAAGGGGGCUAGCGUUGCUCGGAAUCACUGGGCGUAAAGGGUGCGUAGGCGGGUCUUUAAGUCAGGGGUGAAAUCCUGGAGCUCAACUCCAGAACUGCCUUUGAUACUGAAGAUCUUGAGUUCGGGAGAGGUGAGUGGAACUGCGAGUGUAGAGGUGAAAUUCGUAGAUAUUCGCAAGAACACCAGUGGCGAAGGCGGCCAUCUGGACCAGCACUGACACUGAGGCACGAAAGCGUGGGGAGCAAACAGG